UAAAGAAUUUCGGUCAUCGAUGGGGAUGCGUUCCAUUAGCUUGUUGGCGGGGUAACGGCCCACCAAGGCAUCGAUGGAUAGGGGUUCUGAGAGGAAGGUCCCCCACAUUGGAACUGAGACACGGUCCAAACUCCUACGGGAGGCAGCAGUGAGGAAUAUUGGUCAAUGGGCGCUAGCCUGAACCAGCCAAGUAGCGUGAAGGAUGACUGCCCUAUGGGUUGUAAACUUCUUUUAUAUGGGAAUAAAGUGCAGUAUGUAUACUGCUUUGCAUGUACCUUAUGAAUAAGGAUCGGCUAACUCCGUGCCAGCAGCCGCGGUAAUACGGAGGAUCCGAGCGUUAUCCGGAUUUAUUGGGUUUAAAGGGAGCGUAGGCGGGUUGUUAAGUCAGUUGUGAAAGUUUGCGGCUCAACCGUAAAAUUGCAGUUGAUACUGGCAUCCUUGAGUACAGUAGAGGUAGGCGGAAUUCGUGGUGUAGCGGUGAAAUGCUUAGAUAUCACGAAGAACUCCGAUUGCGAAGACAGCCUGCUGGACUGUAACUGACGCUGAUGCUCGAAAGUGUGGGUAUCAAACAGGAUUAGAUACCCUGGUAGUCCACACAGUAAACGAUGAAUACUCGC
Molecule: ribosomal RNA, 617 nt
Filed under: uncultured bacterium
Lineage: Bacteria
Description: bacterial SSU rRNA
Rfam family: Bacterial small subunit ribosomal RNA
Source: RNAcentral